RNAcentral lists this ribosomal RNA (469 nucleotides) under Peptostreptococcaceae bacterium canine oral taxon 065. Its description in RNAcentral is "bacterial SSU rRNA". It matches the Rfam family "Bacterial small subunit ribosomal RNA", at positions 9 to 474 of the family's 1533-position model. The record is from RNAcentral. Lineage: Bacteria; Bacillati; Bacillota; Clostridia; Peptostreptococcales; Peptostreptococcaceae.
GAGUUUGAUCAUGGCUCAGGAUGAACGCUGGCGGCGUGCCUAAUACAUGCAAGUCGAGCGAGAAUCUGAACGACGGAGACUUCGGUCAAAGGAAUUCAGAGGAAAGCGGCGGACGGGUGAGUAACGCGUGGGCAACCUGCCCCAUACAGAGGGAUAGCAGUUGGAAACGACUAUUAAUACCUCAUACUCCGGUUUUAUCGCAUGAUAGAACCGGGAAAGAUUUAUCGGUAUGGGAUGGGCCCGCGUCUGAUUAGCUAGUUGGUGAGGUAACGGCUCACCAAGGCGACGAUCAGUAGCCAACCUUAGAGGGUGAUUGGCCACACUGGAACUGAGACACGGUCCAGACUCCUACGGGAGGCAGCAGUAGGGAAUAUUGGGCAAUGGGGGCAACCCUGACCCAGCAACGCCGCGUGAACGAUGAAAAUCUUCGGAUUGUAAAGUUCUUUUCUUGAGGAAGAAGAAAGUGACG